GCCUGGCUAGCUCAAUCGGUAGAGCGUCAGACUCUUAUGAAUUGGUCAAGCAUUCUGGAUCACCUCCAAAUGAACCAAUCUGAAGGUUGUGGGUUCGACCCCCACGUUAGGCU
Tulasnella sp. JGI-2019a is the source of this 113-nucleotide non-coding RNA. Lineage: Eukaryota; Fungi; Basidiomycota; Agaricomycetes; Cantharellales; Tulasnellaceae. The record is from the annotation of a GenBank genome assembly.